CAGCCGUAAACAAUGUGCGUUAGGUGUGUCGGUAACCACGCGUUACUGAUGCGCCGAAGAGAAAUCGUGAAACGCACCACCUGGGAAGUACGGUCGCAAGGCUGAAACUUAAAGGAAUUGGCGGGGGAGCACCACAACAGGUGGAGCCUGCGGUUUAAUUGGAUUCAACGCCGGACAUCUCACCGGAUAAGACAGCGGAAUGAUUGCCGGGCUGAAGACUCUGCAUGACUAGCUGAGAGGUGGUGCAUGGCGUAGACGUCU
Molecule: ribosomal RNA, 261 nt
Filed under: uncultured archaeon
Lineage: Archaea
Description: partial 16S ribosomal RNA
Rfam family: Archaeal small subunit ribosomal RNA
Source: RNAcentral